GCAAGUCGAACGAUUAAAGCUCUCUUCGGAGAGUGUAUAGAGUGGCGCACGGGUGAGUAACACGUAAGUAAUCUACCCUCGGGUGGGGAAUAACAUCGGGAAACCGAUGCUAAUACCGCAUAAUGCAGCGGCUCCUAAUGGAGACAGUUGUUAAAGGAUUUAUUCGCCUGAGGAGGAGCUUGCGGCAGAUUAGCUAGUUGGUAAGGUAAUGGCUUACCAAGGCUACGAUCUGUAGCCGGUCUAAGAGGACGGUCGGUCACACUGACACUGAAUAACGGGUCAGACUCCUACGGGAGGCAGCAGUCGGGAAUUUUGGGCAAUGGGCGAAAGCCUGACCCAGCAACGCCGCGUGAAGGAUGAAGUAUUUCGGUAUGUAAACUUCGAAAGAAUAGGAAGAAUUAAUGACGGUACUAUUUAUAAGGUCCGGCUAACUACGUGCCAGCAGCCGCGGUAAUACGUAGGGACCAAGCGUUGUUCGGAUUUACUGGGCGUAAAGGGCGCGUAGGUGGCAUGACAAGUCACUUGUGAAAUCUCCGGGCUUAACUCGGAACGGCCAAGUGAUACUGUCACGCUAGAGUGCAGAAAGGGCAAUCGGAAUUCUUGGUGUAGCGGUGAAAUGCGUAGAUAUCAAGAGAACACCUGAGCGAAAGCGGGUUG
This 657-nucleotide ribosomal RNA is filed under the name uncultured bacterium. RNAcentral describes it as "bacterial SSU rRNA". It matches the Rfam family "Bacterial small subunit ribosomal RNA", at positions 57 to 728 of the family's 1533-position model. The record is from RNAcentral.